This 291-nucleotide ribosomal RNA is filed under the name uncultured Planctomycetota bacterium. RNAcentral describes it as "uncultured planctomycete partial 16S ribosomal RNA". It matches the Rfam family "Bacterial small subunit ribosomal RNA", at positions 384 to 666 of the family's 1533-position model. Lineage: Bacteria; Pseudomonadati; Planctomycetota. The record is from RNAcentral.
UGACGAAGCGACGCCGCGUGAGCGAAGAAGGCCCUAGGGUUGUAAAGCUCUGUCGGGGGUUAUGAAAUGCAGGUUGGUUAGUACCCAACCUGUUUGACAAAGGCCCCAAAGGAAGCCACGGCUAACUCUGUGCCAGCAGCCGCGGUAAUACAGAGGUGGCAAGCGUUGUUCGGUAUUAUUGGGCGUAAAGAGCACGUAGGUGGUUUUGUAAGUCAGAUGUGAAAGCCUUCUGUUCAAAGGAAGAACGGCAUCUGAAACUGCAGAUCUUGAGUGUAGGAGGGGAGAGUGGAA